AGACCCGAAACCCGGUGAUCUAGCCAUGGGCAGGUUGAAGGUUGGGUAACACUAACUGGAGGACCGAACCGACUAAUGUUGAAAAAUUAGCGGAUGACCUGUGGCUGGGGGUGAAAGGCCAAUCAAACCGGGAGAUAGCUGGUUCUCCCCGAAAGCUAUUUAGGUAGCGCCUCGUGAAUUCAUCUCCGGGGGUAGAGCACUGUUUCGGCUAGGGGGCCAUCCCGGCUUACCAACCCGAUGCAAACUGCGAAUACCGGAGAAUGUUAUCACGGGAGACACACGGCGGGUGCUAACGUCCGUCGUGAAGAGGGAAACAACCCAGACCGCCAGCUAAGGUCCCAAAGUCAUGGUUAAGUGGGAAACGAUGUGGGAAGGCCCAGACAGCCAGGAUGUUGGCUUAGAAGCAGCCAUCAUUUAAAGAAAGCGUAAUAGCUCACU
RNAcentral lists this ribosomal RNA (438 nucleotides) under Salmonella enterica subsp. enterica serovar Typhimurium. RNAcentral describes it as "partial 23S ribosomal RNA". It matches the Rfam family "Bacterial large subunit ribosomal RNA", at positions 711 to 1146 of the family's 2925-position model. Lineage: Bacteria; Pseudomonadati; Pseudomonadota; Gammaproteobacteria; Enterobacterales; Enterobacteriaceae. The record is from RNAcentral.